This is a long non-coding RNA of Ruditapes philippinarum (Manila clam), 725 nucleotides long. RefSeq lists it as uncharacterized. The transcript has 2 exons. Lineage: Eukaryota; Metazoa; Mollusca; Bivalvia; Venerida; Veneridae. The record is from RefSeq and is a predicted model, not a curated record.
AAAAGAAAGAAAGGAACAAGCAACUGUUAGUAAACAUUUGUAAAAAUAUAUUUACUUAGUGGAAAUUCUGUUAAUCCUUUCAAGACCUUAUAAAACUGCAUUUAAUAAAUUUCAUAAAAACAGAAAUAGCGACAUUUUCUUAAUAAAUUGGUUUUCAUAUCGACUCUAGAUCUUAUUUUGGUGUCAAGACAACCAAAGCAUAACAAGAGCGAUCAGUAAUCACAUGUGUCGCCUCAUGAUGGCCAAUUUCAUGUUGGGACAAAUUUUGUGAGAGACAGACAGACAGACGGACAGUGCACAACUAGACUUGGUACUGAUCAUUCCUGUAAAGUUUGGAUAAAAUUGCACCAGUAGUUUAUGAGGAGUAGUCUGGACAAGCUUUUGCGUAUCUGGCAACACACAGAAAAAAAGACCUUUUUAUCAAAGGGCCAUAACUCGGCCAAAAAUCAUUCAACCGGAAAACCCGUGCAAUAUGCGCAAGGACUUGAGCUACAGAUCAAUCCUGUAAAGUUUCAUUGAAAUUGCAUUAGUGGUAUAAGAGAAGUGUUCCGGACAAACUUUAAAAAUAAAAAUUAUUAAAGGGCCAUAACUCUGACAAAAAUCAUUGAACCGGAAAAUGCUGACAAUAUGCACAACUAGACUUGGUACUGAUCAUUCCUGUAAAGUUUGGAUGAAAUUGCACCAGUAGUUUAUGAGGAGUAGUCCGGACAAGCUUUUGUGUAUCU